GACGAACGCUGGCGGCGUGCCUAAUACAUGCAAGUCGAACGCAGUGGGGACGGGUGAGUAACACGUGGGUAACCUCCCAUCAGAGGGGAUAACACUUGGAAACAGGUGCUAAACCGAUACUGAUGGAUGAACCCGCGGUGCAUUAGCUAGUUGGUGAGGUAACGGCUCACCAAGGCCACGAUGCAUAGGCGACCUGAGAGGGGGAUCGGCAACACUGGGGAUGAGACACGGCCCAAGCUCCUACGGGAGGCAGGAGGAGGGAAUCUUUGGCAAUGGACGGAAGGCUUGCCGAGCAACGCCGCGUGAGUGAAGAAGGGUUUCGGAUCGUAAAACUCUGUUGUUAGAGAAGCGGUAUCUAACCAGAAAGCCACGGCUAACUACGUGCCAGCAGCCGCGGUAAUUC
RNAcentral lists this ribosomal RNA (403 nucleotides) under uncultured bacterium. Its description in RNAcentral is "partial 16S ribosomal RNA". It matches the Rfam family "Bacterial small subunit ribosomal RNA", at positions 28 to 526 of the family's 1533-position model. The record is from RNAcentral.